GUCGAACGCAUCCCGUUGAAUUGAAGUGCUUGCACUGAUAGUCAACAUCGGAUGAGUGGCGAACUGGUGAGUAACACGUGGGUAACCUGCCCAGAAGCGGGGGAUAACACUUGGAAACAGGUGCUAAUACCGCAUAACAACAAAAACCGCAUGGUUUUUGUUUGAAAGAUGGUUUCGGCUAUCACUUCUGGAUGGACCCGCGGCGUAUUAGCUAGUUGGUGGAGUAAUGGUUCACCAAGGCAAUGAUACGUAGCCGACCUGAGAGGGUAAUCGGCCACAUUGGGACUGAGACACGGCCCAAACUCCUACGGGAGGCAGCAGUAGGGAAUCUUCCACAAUGGACGAAAGUCUGAUGGAGCAACGCCGCGUGAGUGAAGAAGGCUUUAGGGUCGUAAAACUCUGUUGUUGAAGAAGAACGUGUGUGAGAGUAACUGUUCACACAGUGACGGUAUUCAACCAGAAAGCCACGGCUAACUACGUGCCAGCAGCCGCGGUAAUACGUAGGUGGCAAGCGUUGUCCGGAUUUAUUGGGCGUAAAGCGAGCGCAGGCGGUUUCUUAAGUCUGAUGUGAAAGCCUUCGG
This 581-nucleotide ribosomal RNA is filed under the name uncultured Lactobacillaceae bacterium. RNAcentral describes it as "bacterial SSU rRNA". It matches the Rfam family "Bacterial small subunit ribosomal RNA", at positions 61 to 607 of the family's 1533-position model. Lineage: Bacteria; Bacillati; Bacillota; Bacilli; Lactobacillales; Lactobacillaceae. The record is from RNAcentral.